This is a long non-coding RNA of Pungitius pungitius (ninespine stickleback), 302 nucleotides long. RefSeq lists it as uncharacterized. Lineage: Eukaryota; Metazoa; Chordata; Actinopteri; Perciformes; Gasterosteidae. The transcript is spliced from 3 exons. The record is from RefSeq and is a predicted model, not a curated record.
GAUAACAUCUUUAGAACCCAAUUUGGGAGAAGAUUCCUUCGAUCUUUGAUACGCUCAUUCAGACCAGGUUCAGUGGUGGUAGAUUCCGAGCUAAUUUUUGCCAAUGCCAGCUUAGUGCCAGCAGCUAUUGAAGCACAAAUCACUCUGGUAGAGGCAGCGUCCAACAAUUCCAACUUCUCCCUGCCAGUGAAUGUGUCAACCAUUGUUGCAACUGGACCUACACCUGUCAACGAAACAACUGCUGCCCCCAAUGCUACAGUGGCCCCAACUGCUGCCCCCAAUUCUACAGUGGCCCCAACUGC